GAGUUUGAUCCUGGCUCAGGACGAACGCUGGCGGUAUGCUUAACACAUGCAAGUCGAACGAGAAGGAAGAGCUUGCUCUUCCUGAAAGUGGCGAACGGGUGAGUAACGCGUGGGUAACCUACCCUUUGGAAAGGAAUAGCCUCGGGAAACUGGGAGUAAUGCCUUAUAAGAUACGUUUGUCGCAUGGCAUUUGUAUUAAACGCUCCGGCGCCAUAGGAUGGACCCGCGUCCCAUUAGCUAGUUGGUGAGAUAACAGCUCACCAAGGCCACGAUGGGUAACCGGUCUGAGAGGGCGAACGGUCACACUGGAACUGAGACACGGUCCAGACUCCUACGGGAGGCAGCAGUGGGGAAUAUUGCGCAAUGGGGGCAACCCUGACGCAGCAAUACCGCGUGAGUGAAGAAGGUUUUCGGAUCGUAAAGCUCUGUUAUUGGGGAAGAAAAAAAGACGGUACCCAAGAAGAAAGUUCCGGCUAACUACGUGCCAGCAGCCGCGGUAAUACGUAGGGAACAAGCGUUGUCCGGAUUUACUGGGCGUAAAGGGCACGCAGGCGGUUUUUUAAGUCAGAUGUGAAAGGCCACAGCUCAACUGUGGACAUGCAUUUGAAACUGAAAGACUUGAGUAUUGGAGAGGCAAGUGGAAUUCCUAGUGUAGCGGUGAAAUGCGUAGAUAUUAGGAGGAACACCGGUGGCGAAGGCGAGUUUGAUCCUGGCUCAGGACGAACGCUGGCGGUAUGCUUAACACAUGCAAGUCGAACGAGAAGGAAGAGCUUGCUCUUCCUGAAAGUGGCGAACGGGUGAGUAACGCGUGGGUAACCUACCCUUUGGAAAGGAAUAGCCUCGGGAAACUGGGAGUAAUGCCUUAUAAGAUACGUUUGUCGCAUGGCAUUUGUAUUAAACGCUCCGGCGCCAUAGGAUGGACCCGCGUCCCAUUAGCUAGUUGGUGAGAUAACAGCUCACCAAGGCCACGAUGGGUAACCGGUCUGAGAGGGCGAACGGUCACACUGGAACUGAGACACGGUCCAGACUCCUACGGGAGGCAGCAGUGGGGAAUAUUGCGCAAUGGGGGCAACCCUGACGCAGCAAUACCGCGUGAGUGAAGAAGGUUUUCGGAUCGUAAAGCUCUGUUAUUGGGGAAGAAAAAAAGACGGUACCCAAGAAGAAAGUUCCGGCUAACUACGUGCCAGCAGCCGCGGUAAUACGUAGGGAACAAGCGUUGUCCGGAUUUACUGGGCGUAAAGGGCACGCAGGCGGUUUUUUAAGUCAGAUGUGAAAGGCCACAGCUCAACUGUGGACAUGCAUUUGAAACUGAAAGACUUGAGUAUUGGAGAGGCAAGUGGAAUUCCUAGUGUAGCGGUGAAAUGCGUAGAUAUUAGGAGGAACACCGGUGGCGAAGGC
This 1398-nucleotide ribosomal RNA is filed under the name uncultured bacterium. RNAcentral's name for it is "bacterial SSU rRNA". The stretch from base 692 to 1398 matches the Rfam family "Bacterial small subunit ribosomal RNA", at positions 1 to 722 of the family's 1533-position model. The record is from RNAcentral.